AACGAACGCUGGCGGCAUGCCUAACACAUGCAAGUCGAACGAGCCCUUCGGGUCUAGUGGCGCACGGGUGCGUAACGCGUGGGAACCUGCCCUUAGGUUCGGACUAACUCCCCGACAGGGGUGCUAAUACCGGAUAAUGUCUUCUGACCAAAGAUUUAUCGCCCUUGGAUGUGACCGCGUUGGAUUAGCUCGUUAGUAGGGUAAAAGCCUACCAAGGCGACGAUCCAAAGCUGGUCAGAGAGGAUGAUCAGCUACACUGGGACUAAGACGCGGCCCGGACUCAUGCGCGAAGUAGCAGUGGGGGAUGUUGGAAAAUGGACGGAAGGCUGAGCAACCAAUGCCGCGUGAGCUAUGAUGGCAGUAGUGUAGUAAAGCCCUAUUACCCGAGAAGAUAAUGACAGUACCGGAUGAAUAAGCUCCGGCUAACUCCGUG
Molecule: ribosomal RNA, 433 nt
Filed under: uncultured bacterium
Lineage: Bacteria
Description: partial 16S ribosomal RNA
Rfam family: Bacterial small subunit ribosomal RNA
Source: RNAcentral